GCUUGUCUCAAAGAUUAAGCCAUGCAUGUCUAAGUAUAAGCACUUAUACCGUGAAACUGCGAAUGGCUCAUUAUAUCAGUUAUAGUUUAUUUGAUAGUCCCUACUACAUGGAUAACCGUAGUAAUUCUAGAGCUAAUACAUGCACAAAAUCCUGACUGCUUGCGGAAAGGAUGUAUUUAUUAGAUACAACCAACCCUUCGGGUCCCUGGUGAAUCAUAAUAACUUAGCGAACCGCAUGCUUCGGCGGCGGUGAUUCAUUCAAGUUUCUGCCCUAUCAGCUUUCGAUGGUAGGGUAUUGGCCUACCAUGGCGUUAACGGGUAACGGAGAAUUAGGGUUCGAUUCCGGAGAGGGAGCCUGAGAGAUGGCUACCACAUCCAAGGAAGGCAGCAGG
RNAcentral lists this ribosomal RNA (392 nucleotides) under uncultured Bicosoecida. RNAcentral describes it as "partial small subunit ribosomal RNA". It matches the Rfam family "Eukaryotic small subunit ribosomal RNA", at positions 30 to 432 of the family's 1831-position model. Lineage: Eukaryota; Bigyra; Bicosoecida. The record is from RNAcentral.